CGACUCCUUUCCCACAGUCCCACAUUAGAACUGGGUCUUUUAAAUUCUGAACUCUGCCAGCAAUUAAAAGUGCAGAUUGGAGGAGCCAGGCGGUGGUGGCGCAUGCCUUUGAUCCCAGCACUGAGAAGGCAGAGGCAGAUUAAAAGAGAGACCAGGAAAGGUCACAGAUUUGAGCAGGUACUGACCAAGAAUGGCUGGGAACCUUGAAGGAAGAAGAAUGAAAGCGUCUACAUCAUACAGCAGUGAUACAGCUGCUGAGGUACCAUUGCUAAUGAGAUUGUCUAGAAUAUACUCCUGAACCUUAAAGCAAUCUUGUUAAAAGACCAAGCUACAGUGUCUGAAGAUAACAUCAUGCAGAUAUGGCAGAUGACUGAAAAUAUUUACAAUGAUGAAGGGUCAGAUGUCACAAUAUCGAACUGGAGGGACAAGGAUCUUAAACUCCAAAAACAUCCAAGUUGGCAACUGUAUAACAUGCAACUACUUAUGUGUGCUAAACUAUCAGUAGGGCAAAUGAAAAGCAGGGCCUCACUAUGUAGCUCUGGCUAUCCUGGAAAUUACUAUAUAGACCAAGCUGGCCUUGAACUCACAGAAAUCUUCGUGCCUCCACCUCCCUAGUGCAGAGAUUAAAGGUCUAUAUCACUACACCUGACUCCAGAAAGGUUUGAUUUCUGAAUGUUGUAUCCAUAUCCUGUUUCUAGCAAAGGUUCUAACUGAAUUUGAAAGUGCUCAUAAAAGUAAGUAGAAAAGAUGUUUUCUUCUCAGGCAAACAGGUUUUUGAGAAAAACAAUAGUAAAGGUUGAUGUAUUUCAUACAGACAAGCUCCACUCUGAAUCACAAGCAGGCAGCACUUCCAGAAGAAGCAGGAGGAUCAAGAGUUACACCCAGCCAAGGUUACAUAUUAAAACACUAUCUCAAAAAAGCCAAGUACAUAGCCAGUCUUGGUGGUAUAAGCCUUUAAUCCCAGCACUCCAGAGGCAGAGCCAGGCAGAUAUCUUUGCAUUAGAGGCCAUCCUGGUCUAUUUAGCAAGUUCCAGGACAGCCAAGGCUACACAUGAGAUGCUGUCUCAACAACAAAAACAAAAACAAAACAAAAAGUAAAGUAAAACUUUCCUUUCUAAAUGACAAGCAAGCUACGGUGAUGCUGCGCACCUGAAAUUCCAGCACUUAGGAGGCAGGAGGAGCAUCUCAAGUCUGAGGCCAGGAUGGUCUGUCUACACAGUGAGUUUCAGGGCAGGUAGGGCUACAUAGCAAACAUCAACCUCAAAAAAACUAUUUUAAAAAAGGCAGGCAGGCAAGGAUAGGCCUGGCAGUGUAGGCCUAUAACACCAGCUCCAAGUACAGGUUUGGCAUGAUUGUAAGCCUGGGCUGUAGAAUGAGUUCAGGUUGAGCCUGGAAACUUAGUGUUCUGUGACACAUGAGUUCCCUAGAGCUUGGAGGCCAGGCACCCUCAUAUGUUCACGUCCCAAUUAGAGACCUCAUGUCAAAAAAACAGGAAGGGGGGCUGGAGAGAUGGCUCAGAGGUUAAGAGCACUGGCUGUUCUCCCAGAGGUCCUGAGUUCAAUUCCCAGCAACCACAUGGUGGCUCACAGCCAUCUAUAAUGGUGCCUUCUUCUGGUAUGCAGGCAUACAUGCAGAUAUUGUAUACAUAAUAAAUAAAUUAAUUUAAAAAAAAAACAGGAAGGAAUGACAAUUGAGGUUGACCUUUGCACACCACCAUGCAUAUAAAAAUGGCUAGGGAUAUAGCUCAGAAAUUCAGAAGCCAAGCUGGGCAUAGUGACCCAUGCCUAUAAUCUCGGCACUCAGGAAGGCAGAGUGAAUUCAAGGCCAGCCUGGUCUACAAAGUGAGUCCAGGACAGCCAAGGCUACACAGAGAAACCCUGUCUCAAAAAAAAAAAAAAAAAUUAUGUCACAGAGAUGGCUCAUAUUACUGUGUAAUCCUGAUGAUUUGCCAUCAAUCCCUAGAACUCAACUGAAAAGUCUGGACACAAUAGCAUAAGCCCAUCCUAGCACUCCUAAAGGUUGAGCCAGAACUUCAUGGCCAGCUAGCUUAGAGUACAACAUAUAUCAAGAACAGCAAGGCAGAUUCUGCCUCAACAAGGUAGAAGAGCUGACUCAAGAGAAUGGCUCUAAUCUCCACACUCAUAUACAUGCAGGAGUGCAAGCACACAGAGAAUCCAGGCCUGGCAUGUCCAAGGCCCUGGGUUCAUUCAAUCCUCAGUACUGCUUUCCUCUCCCUCAAAAAAAAAAAAAGAGAAUCAAGUAAGCAAGCCACUGCCAACUAUUUGUAUGCACCAAGGAAGAUCUAGCUGAUUGGAUUAGAGUCUGUGCCAGGCACUGGCAAACACCUUAACAUCGAUCUGAAAAGACUGGAAAGAUUCAGAAGAAUCUAGAAUUGUGAAUCAAAGUGACUCUGGCCAGAAGAUGAACAAGUGUGGAUUUCUUCAGUAUAACUGGUGUGUGCCUGUUCUUAGACAUCAGGUAUCAGUGGGUUUUUGUUUUGUGCUGUUGGGGAUGGGAGGGCUCCUUUAAGCCAUUCUUUACAAAAGUAGAGUAGAUCCUAAAGGUCUCAAGUUUGAACCUGCAACAGAAUCCCUGGAAGUUUGUUAACACAAAUUACUGGGCCCUCCUUUGAGAGCCUGAUUCAGCAGGUUUAGAGUAGGGCCUUUAAAGUGUGCAUUUCUAACAAGUCGCAGGGAGAC
Meriones unguiculatus (Mongolian gerbil) is the source of this 2699-nucleotide long non-coding RNA. RefSeq lists it as uncharacterized. The transcript has 5 exons. The record is from RefSeq and is a predicted model, not a curated record. NCBI's taxonomy places the organism in Eukaryota, Metazoa, Chordata, Mammalia, Rodentia, Muridae.